CCCUUAGAUGUUCUGGGCCGCACGCGCGCUACACUGACGAAGUCAGCGAGCAUGUCCUACGCCGACAGGUGCGGGGAAUCUUGUCAAACUUCGUCGUGAUGGGGAUUGAUUAUUGAAAUUCUUGAUCAUCAACGAGGAAUUCCUAGUAAGCGCAAGUCAGCAGCUUGCGUUGAUUACGUCCCUGCCCUUUGUACACACCGCCCGUCGCUACUACCGAUUGAAUGGUUGAGUGAGAUCUUCGGAUUGGCGCCACUGCGGCUCAGCAAUGGGCUCGGUGGAUGCCGAAAAGUUGAUCAAACUUGAUCAUUUAGAGGAAGUAAAAGUCGUAACA
This 331-nucleotide ribosomal RNA is filed under the name uncultured eukaryote. Its description in RNAcentral is "partial 18S ribosomal RNA". It matches the Rfam family "Eukaryotic small subunit ribosomal RNA", at positions 1470 to 1796 of the family's 1831-position model. The record is from RNAcentral.